GCCCCACAAUUUCCUUAAGAAUAGUAAAAUUUAGUGUCAUGCCCUCGCAUUCCUUCUUGAAAAAAACUCAUUUUUUCUCUUAAGAACAGUGGAAUUACCGCCCCAUCCCUUCCACUUUGUCUAAAUUCUUCUACUCUUCUCUUUCCCCUCCCUUUGCAAAUCUCUAUUCUCUCUCUUUCCCGACAGCGAAUUCCAAUUCCAAUUCCCGUUUGAAGAAAUUGAUGCUCAAAGAAAAUUAAAACAUUGAAACUUAAUUAUGUGGCGAUGACGAUGAGAUUUAGCGAUUCUUAAAAAAUAAAAUGACAAUCGACGAUGACAGAGACUGAGAGAGGAGAGAGUUCAAGGAGAGACUGAGAGAGGAGACCUUGUCGCAGCUGCACCUAAUCUUUCUCCUAGGGUUUAUCAAUUCGAGCAUCAAUGACGUCUCUUGCUGAAUGUACUUUUAUUCGUCUUUACAGUUUAAUUUUUUCGUUGGUGCACGAUUUAUUUAUGCUUGUAAUAUUUCAGUUAAAAUAUCAUCACCCUAAUAUCAUAUUUUCA
Long non-coding RNA from Spinacia oleracea (spinach), 540 nucleotides. RefSeq lists it as uncharacterized. NCBI's taxonomy places the organism in Eukaryota, Viridiplantae, Streptophyta, Magnoliopsida, Caryophyllales, Amaranthaceae. The transcript has 2 exons. The record is from RefSeq and is a predicted model, not a curated record.